Molecule: ribosomal RNA, 414 nt
Filed under: uncultured bacterium
Lineage: Bacteria
Description: bacterial SSU rRNA
Rfam family: Bacterial small subunit ribosomal RNA
Source: RNAcentral
AAUCAACGCUGGCGGCGUGCCUAACACAUGCAAGUCGAACGCGAAAGUCCCGCAAGGGAUUAGUAGAGUGGCAAACGGGUGAGUAACACGUGGGUGACCUGCCUUCGAGUGGGGGAUAACGUCCCGAAAGGGACGCUAAUACCGCAUAACAUCCUGCCUUUGAAGAGGUGGAGAUCAAAGCUGGGGACCNCAAGGCCUGGCGCUGGAAGAGGGGCCCGCGUCUGAUUAGCUAGUUGGNGAGGUAACGGCUCACCAAGGCAACGAUCAGUAUCCGGCCUGAGAGGGCGGACGGACACACUGGGACUGAGACACGGCCCAGACUCCUACGGGAGGCAGCAGUGGGGAAUAUUGACAAUGGGCGAAAGCCUGAUCCAGCCAUGCCGCGUGAGUGAUGAAGGCCUUAGGGUUGUAAAG